GGCCGCUGCCGAUCGCGGGAGGGUCUCUCCUCAGAGUCGGGUUGCUUGAGAGUGCAGCCCUAAGUGGGUGGUAAACUCCAUCUAAGGCUAAAUAUGACCACGAGACCGAUAGCGAACAAGUACCGUGAGGGAAAGUUGAAAAGCACUUUGAAGAGAGAGUUCAAGAGUACGUGAAACCGUUCAGGGGUAAACCUGAGAAACCCGAAAGGUCGAAAGGGGAAAUUCAUUCGCGUUUCGGCUAUCGGCGAUGAGCGGUCGUGUGACGGAUGGCGUUCGCGUCGUCCGCACCUUCUGUUUUUCGAACCGGUGUCGAACGCGUGCACUUUUCCUCUAGUAGGACGUCGCGAUCCGUUGGGUGUCGGUCUACGGCUCGCGGUGGAGUCCGUGUACGAUCGUUUCGGCGAUUCGUGCUCGAACCCGCGGUGUCCCGGCCGACUCGCUCGACGGUAUACAGAUGGCGCGAGGCCGCUA
This 471-nucleotide ribosomal RNA is filed under the name Bruchus atomarius. RNAcentral describes it as "eukaryotic LSU rRNA". It matches the Rfam family "Eukaryotic large subunit ribosomal RNA", at positions 229 to 631 of the family's 3401-position model. Lineage: Eukaryota; Metazoa; Arthropoda; Insecta; Coleoptera; Chrysomelidae. The record is from RNAcentral.